GCUGCCAGGCCGCGGGGUGGGUGGCAGCGCUGCCCCAGCGCUCGGCCUCCCCGCGGCCGCUCCGGUCCGGCCCGGCCCGGGGCACCUUCGCAGAGGAGCAAACGCGUCAUGACCUCGGAAACACCAGCUCCUCCUGCAACCUUCGGGCACAGGGAAACUCUUUGGAAACGUUCCCGCCUUCUAGAUCUUGAACUCUUGAAGUUCCUUUUCUAACCGGAGUCCCGUUAUUCAUUCAUCCGUCUAACUGUUCGUUCCUCAUUCAUUCGCUCUCUCAAUAAGCAUUCACCGCCACCUACGCGGUGCUGAACCCAGGGGACACAGAGACGAGCAGUCCAAAACGUCACUGUUUAGAGGGGAGACAGGCAAGCAACACUGUUUAAUGGAUGGUGCUGUGGAAAUGAGACCUCAGGUGUCCUGAACGAUAGGACUUUCAGUCCGUCCCAGCAGACCAGGGUGACCCCUUGCAUCAGAAUCACUUGGGAAGCUGAAUGCACUGUAUACACCCCUGGGUCCUACCGGGUGUCCUACCCCAGAACUCCAGGGGUGGAGUCAAUCUUGCACGAGCUCCGCAGGGCUGACUUAUGUGACAAUAAAAUACUGUGACGGCGUGCGAUUCCCAAGACCAGGUUAUGAAACUGGAGACCAAGCUUUUGCCUGAAUCUCUGGAAUCGCUCUCUUGGGGAGGAAGCCAGCUGCCAUGCUUCCCGGACGCACAAGCAGCACCAUGGAGAAGUCCAUACGGUGAGGAAUUGAGGGCCUUCGCCAACAGCAGGCCACAACUCGCUAACCAAGUGAGUGAGCCACUUUGGAAGACGAUUGUCCCACACGGGUCAAGACUUGAGAUGACUGAAGCCCCAGCCAACAUCUUGAUGGCAACCCCAUGGGAGAUCCCAAGGCCGAAUCGCUUAAUGAAAUCAUUCCUGAGAUUCUGACUCACAGAAGCUUUGGGGUUCUUCAUGGUCACAUGGCAUGCUCCUUAUAUGACUUUCUGUGUCCAAAUUUCCCCUUCUCCUGUUUUUUUUUUUAAUAAAAAUGUUUUAACAUUU
Long non-coding RNA from Herpailurus yagouaroundi (jaguarundi), 1046 nucleotides. RefSeq lists it as uncharacterized. The transcript is spliced from 2 exons. Lineage: Eukaryota; Metazoa; Chordata; Mammalia; Carnivora; Felidae. The record is from RefSeq and is a predicted model, not a curated record.